This 465-nucleotide ribosomal RNA is filed under the name Vreelandella stevensii. RNAcentral's name for it is "partial 16S ribosomal RNA". It matches the Rfam family "Bacterial small subunit ribosomal RNA", at positions 338 to 795 of the family's 1533-position model. Lineage: Bacteria; Pseudomonadati; Pseudomonadota; Gammaproteobacteria; Oceanospirillales; Halomonadaceae. The record is from RNAcentral.
CCUACGGGUGGCAGCAGUGGGGAAUAUUGGACAAUGGGCGAAAGCCUGAUCCAGCCAUGCCGCGUGUGUGAAGAAGGCCUUCGGGUUGUAAAGCACUUUCAGUGGGGAAGAAAGCCUUGGGGCUAAUACCCUCGAGGAAGGACAUCACCCACAGAAGAAGCACCGGCUAACUCCGUGCCAGCAGCCGCGGUAAUACGGAGGGUGCGAGCGUUAAUCGGAAUUACUGGGCGUAAAGCGCGCGUAGGCGGUCUGAUAAGCCGGUUGUGAAAGCCCCGGGCUCAACCUGGGAACGGCAUCCGGAACUGUCAGGCUAGAGUGCAGGAGAGGAAGGUAGAAUUCCCGGUGUAGCGGUGAAAUGUGUAGCGAUCGGGAGGAAUACCAGUGGCGAAGGCGGUCUUCUGGACUGACACUGACGCUGAGGUGCGAAAGCGUGGGUAGCAAACAGGAUUAGAUACCCCAGUAGUC